Anthonomus grandis grandis is the source of this 1293-nucleotide long non-coding RNA. RefSeq lists it as uncharacterized. The transcript is spliced from 3 exons. The record is from RefSeq and is a predicted model, not a curated record. NCBI's taxonomy places the organism in Eukaryota, Metazoa, Arthropoda, Insecta, Coleoptera, Curculionidae.
GCUCAAAAACGGGGUCAGAAAGUGACAAUUUUCGAAUUUUCAAAGUGCUCUCAUUCCCUUAUUUCUGAUCGAAUCCUGUUAUAACCCGGUGUUUUCGUAAUCUAGGUGAUGUAAACAAGUCGAUGGUAUAGUUAGUUCGAAUUCGAAAAAAUUCAAUUUUUGGUGAAAAAUUCGAUACGGGGGGGUAUACCCGAAAAAUGAAAAAUCCCAAACUUUGGAGGUCGAUAUCUCGGCUUCUAUGGGCACUAUCUGGAAAAUUCCAACGGUUUUCUCUUAGUUUCGUCUUUCCGAAUCCAACGAGACCAUCCACAAGGUCGUAGGUCUCAUAUUAGCUGAGAUCUCGCAUUUUUGAGGCCCAUUUUUGGGCUCAAAAACGGGGUCAGAAAGUGACAAUUUUCGAAUUUUCAAAGUGCUCUCAUUCCCUUAUUUCUGAUCGAAUCCUGUUAUAACCCGGUGUUUUCGUAAUCUAGGUGAUGUAAACAAGUCGAUGGUAUAGUUAGUUCGAAUUCGAAAAAAUUCAAUUUUUGGUGAAAAAUUCGAUACGGGGGGGUAUACCCGAAAAAUGAAAAAUCCCAAACUUUGGAGGUCGAUAUCUCGGCUUCUAUGGGCACUAUCUGGAAAAUUCCAACGGUUUUCUCUUAGUUUCGUCUUUCCGAAUCCAACGAGACCAUCCACAAGGUCGUAGGUCUCAUAUUAGCUGAGAUCUCGCAUUUUUGAGGCCCAUUUUUGGGCUCAAAAACGGGGUCAGAAAGUGACAAUUUUCGAAUUUUCAAAGUGCUCUCAUUCCCUUAUUUCUGAUCGAAUCCUGUUAUAACCCCGUGUUUUCGUAAUCUAGGUGAUGUAAACAAGUCGAUGGUACAGUUAGUUCGAAUUCGAAAAAAUUCAAUUUUUGGUGAAAAAUUCGAUACGGGGGGGUAUACCCGAAAAAUGAAAAAUCCCAAACUUUGGAGGUCGAUAUCUCGGCUUCUAUGGGCACUAUCUGGAAAAUUCCAACGGUUUUCUCUUAGUUUCGUCUUUCCGAAUCCAACGAGACCAUCCACAAGGUCGUAGGUCUCAUAUUAGCUGAGAUCUCGCAUAUUUGAGGCCCAUUUUUGGGCUCAAAAACGGGGUCAGAAAGUGACAAUUUUCGAAUUUUCAAAGUGCUCUCAUUCCCUUAUUUCUGAUCGAAUCCUGUUAUAACCCGGUGUUUUCGUAAUCUAGGUGAUGUAAACAAGUCGAUGGUACAGUUAGUUCGAAUUCGAAAAAAUUCAAUUUUUGGUGAAAAAUUCGAUACGGGGGGGUAUACCCGAAAAA